UCUUCAUCCAGCCUUUUGCCACAUUUGCAGC
Molecule: non-coding RNA, 31 nt
Filed under: Rattus norvegicus (Norway rat)
Lineage: Eukaryota; Metazoa; Chordata; Mammalia; Rodentia; Muridae
Source: RNAcentral